RNAcentral lists this ribosomal RNA (556 nucleotides) under uncultured bacterium. RNAcentral's name for it is "partial 16S ribosomal RNA". The record is from RNAcentral.
GGAGUUAGCCGGUGCUUCUUCUGUGAGUGAUGUCCUUCCUGCCGGCUAUUAACCCGCAGGCCUUCUUCCUCACUGAAAGUGCUUUACAACCCGAAGGCCUUCUUCACACACGCGGCAUGGCUGGAUCAGGGUUGCCCCCAUUGUCCAAUAUUCCCCACUGCUGCCUCCCGUAGGAGUCUGGGCCGUGUCUCAGUCCCAGUGUGGCUGAUCAUCCUCUCAGACCAGCUACGGAUCGUCGCCUUGGUGAGCCGUUACCUCACCAACCAGCUAAUCCGACAUAGGCUCAUCCGAUAGCGCGAGGCCCGAAGGUCCCCCGCUUUCCCCCGUACGGGCGUAUGCGGUAUUAGCCUGGGUUUCCCCACGGUUAUCCCCCACCUACCGGGCGAGAUUCCUAUGCAUUACUCACCCGUCCGCCGCUCGCCACCACGGGAGCAAGCUCCCCGUCGCUGCCGCUCGACUUGCAUGUGUUAGGCCUGCCGCCACGCGUCUAAUACUGAGCCACGAAUACGAACCCGUACGACUACGAGCGGGCGUCGGCGACGGACGGCGACUAGAG